CCGACUCCUACGGGAGGCAGCAGUAGGGAAUCUUCGGCAAUGGACGAAAGUCUGACCGAGCAACGCCGCGUGAGUGAAGAAGGUUUUCGGAUCGUAAGACUCUGUUGGUAGAGAAGAACGUUGGUGAGAGUGGAAAGCUCAUCAAGUGACGGUAACUACCCAGAAAGGGACGGCUAACUACGUGCCAGCAGCCGCGGUAAUACGUAGGUCCCGAGCGUUGUCCGGAUUUAUUGGGCGUAAAGCGAGCGCAGGUGGUUUAUUAAGUCUGGUGUAAAAGGCAGUGGCUCAACCAUUGUAUGCAUUGGAAACUGGUAGACUUGAGUGCAGGAGAGGAGAGUGGAAUUCCAUGUGUAGCGGUGAAGUGCGUAGAUAUAUGGAGGAACACCGGUGGCGAAAGCGGCUCUCUGGCCUGUAACUGACACUGAGGCUCGAAAGCGUGGGGAGCAAACAGGAUUAGAUACCCUGGUGGUCCACGCCGUAAACGAUGAGUGCUAGAUGUAGGGAGCUAUAAGUUCUCUGUAUCGCAGCUAACGCAAUAAGCACUCCGCCUGGGGAGUACGACCGCAAGGUUGAAACUCAAAGGAAUUGACGGGGGCCCGCACAG
This 604-nucleotide ribosomal RNA is filed under the name uncultured bacterium. RNAcentral's name for it is "bacterial SSU rRNA". It matches the Rfam family "Bacterial small subunit ribosomal RNA", at positions 332 to 928 of the family's 1533-position model. The record is from RNAcentral.